RNAcentral lists this ribosomal RNA (468 nucleotides) under uncultured bacterium. RNAcentral's name for it is "partial 16S ribosomal RNA". It matches the Rfam family "Bacterial small subunit ribosomal RNA", at positions 28 to 507 of the family's 1533-position model. The record is from RNAcentral.
GACGAACGCUGGCGGCGGGCUUAACACAUGCAAGUCGAACGGAAAGGCCCUGCUUUUGUGGGGUUCUCGAGUGGCGAACGGGUGAGUAACACGUGAGUAACCUGCCCUUGACUUUGGUAGAACUUCAGGAAACUGGAGCUAAUACCAGAUAGGAGCUGCUGCUGGAUGGUGGGGGUUGGAAAUUCUCGGCGGGUGGGGAUGGACUCGCGGCUUAUCAGCUUGUUGGUGGGGUAGUGGCUUACCAAGGCUGUGACGGGUAGCCGGCCUGAGAGGGUGACCGGCCACAUUGGGACUGAGAUACGGCCCAGACUCCUACGGGAGGCAGCAGUGGGGAAUAUUGCCCAAUGGGCGGAAGCCUGAUGCAGCAACGCCGCGUGCGGGAUGACGGCCUUCGGGUUGUAAACCGCUUUCGCCUGUGACGAAGCGUGAGUGACGGUAAUGGGUAAAGAAGCACCGGCUAACUACGUG